Molecule: ribosomal RNA, 497 nt
Filed under: uncultured bacterium
Lineage: Bacteria
Description: partial 16S ribosomal RNA
Rfam family: Bacterial small subunit ribosomal RNA
Source: RNAcentral
GAUGAACGCUGGCGGCGUGCCUAAUACAUGCAAGUCGAGCGAACAGACGAGGAGCUUGCUCCUCUGACGUUAGCGGCGGACGGGUGAGUAACACGUGGAUAACCUACCUAUAAGACUGGGAUAACUUCGGGAAACCGGAGCUAAUACCGGAUAAUAUAUUGAACCGCAUGGUUCAAUAGUGAAAGACGGUUUUGCUGUCACUUAUAGAUGGAUCCGCGCCGCAUUAGCUAGUUGGUAAGGUAACGGCUUACCAAGGCGACGAUGCGUAGCCGACCUGAGAGGGUGAUCGGCCACACUGGAACUGAGACACGGUCCAGACUCCUACGGGAGGCAGCAGUAGAGAAUCUUCCGCAAUGGGCGAAAGCCUGACGGAGCAACGCCGCGUGAGUGAUGAAGGUCUUCGGAUCGUAAAACUCUGUUAUUAGGGAAGAACAAAUGUGUAAGUAACUAUGCACGUCUUGACGGUACCUGAUCAGAAAGCCACGGCUAACUACGUG